CUCUUUCUAGACAGUCCAGUGGAACGCUAGCAGGUUCAUAACCUGUAGGUGUUGUGAACGAUGUGUUCACCGGUGUACUCUAUCCCCCUCAUGGUUGCCUUUAGGAUAUCUAUUGUUGAGGAAACCCCUUCGCAGUGAUGUCCGUCCCGAUGAAAAUCCUAGAUUAGGUCCCUUGAGAUAGUUGUUUUAGGGACGUAAAGUGAGGAUAACGGGAAUGGGUAAUCGGGAUAGUGAUUGGUUGGUGAAAUUAAAUAUAACUUAUUUAUUGUGGGUUGAAAACCCUAUAUGCUCACCAGGCUCCCAAGCCUGACCCACUCAGUUUUAUUUGUAUUACAGGAAGUGGCACAAGGGCGUAAGAUGGAUGGAUCAUCUUGUUGUUUUGUUUACAAGUCUGUAUAUGUAUAUAUUUGUUGAAUGACUUGUAAUGUUUAUCGUUUAUGCUUUAUGGUCUGUAUCGGAACAUGACAUCCCGAGUUUUGAUUAUAUAAUGAAAUGCAUCUCUUGAUGAAAUGCUUUGAUAAAUAUUAUUUUAUCAUGUUUUGUUUUGGGAACAAAUUCCGCAACUCUUUCAAAUCAAAAGGAUUUACUCUGAAAAUAUUUAAAAGCAUAAAUGAAAAUCGGUCUUUUCUGGCCGAGAUUUUGGGGAUGUCACAGUUGGUAUCAGAGCAUUAGUUUAAGCGAACUAGGAAUUUGUAGGAUUUCUAGACUUAAACUUAGAAUGCUAAGUGGAAUUUUGAGAUGUGUGUCUGUUGGAUUUUAGACACGAGCACUAGUUUAUUUUAGGAAAGUUGCCUAAAAUGCUUUUAUGUGCUAAAUGUUAUAUGUUGCCAUAUAUGAUAUUAUUUGUUCGGAUCUACGGUUUGUUGCCAACCGGAUCUGAAGGUUUAUGUGUUUAGGAUUCUAAGCGUAUGUAUACGAUAUUAGAACUAGCAUGUAAUCGUUUGGAGUAAUAAGGUGAAAUUAUUCGGUGUGUAGAUCAAAAAUGGUGAGAACAAGGAGUGGCGUUGGAAACGCAGAUGAAAACAGGAAUCAACCGCCAGUGAUUGAGCAAAUACCUGUUGUAGCAGCAGCACCAGAACCAAUAACAAUGGCUGCGGUGCAAGCCAUGAUUCGGGCUAUGCUAGCCGAACAAAGGGAGGAGAUGCGACAAAUGUUGCAUAAUAAUAGGGAUGAACCUGUCAUACCUAUUGAGGAACCUGAAUUGAUUCCCGAGCAAUCGGAGGAAGGGAACAAUAGUCGCAUGGUGAGUCAAGUUGGGACUCAAGAGGAACGAAGGAACGAUCCAGAAAGGAGAAACAACAAGGAUGGGCGUAUGUACAAGAAUUUCUUGGGCGCCAAACCGCCAAGUCUUUCUGGGAGCCCAAAGCCUGUUGAGAUAAUGGAUUGGAUCUCCGAAAUGGAGAUGGUAUUUGAAAGUUGCGACUGUAGCAACAAACAGAAGACCGUCUUUGCGGUUAGACAACUGAAGACUGGAGUCUUGAGUUGGUGGAAGUUGUUGGCAGAUACUAUGCCACGAGGAGAAGCCCUGAAAAUGUCAUGGGAGGAGUUCUUGGAACAGUUAAGGGUGCAGUAUUGUUCGGAGAUAGAUCUGAUUGAUCUGAACAAUGAGUUUCAAAACUUAAAGAAGGGGAAGAUGAGCAUAGAUGACUAUGCUACUGCAUUUACUGAGAAGAUGAAGUUGUUUCCGUACCUAGUGCCAACGGAACUCUCCAAGAUUGAGAGGUUUGCUAACGGACUGCCUGCUGACUUUGGUCCGACAGUCAAAAUGGCAACCACUCUGAAAACGGCUGUUCGUGCAGCUAAGAAUGUGGAGGCCCAGCAGAAGGAAAAGGGUCUGGAAAGAAUAGAUGUUGGAGAAAAGAGGAAGUUCGAUGGAACUUCAGGGUCCAACAAGAAAAACAAGUUCUCGAAGUCUGGUUCGAGGGGAGGUGGAGGUGAAGCGAAAUGGUGCGACAAAUGUAAGAAGAAGCAUCAUGGAAGAUGUGAGGUGGCGAACACAUGCUACAAGUGUGGAAAGCCAGGGCACUAUGCCAAUGAGUGUACCCUCACAAAGAAAGUUUGCUAUGGUUGUGGUGAGGAGGGUCAUAUGUCGAGGGACUGCCCGAAGAAGAAGGAGGCAGCUAGACCCAACAUUCCGCCAAAGCCAAAGGCGAGAGCAUUCCAGAUGACACUGGAAGCUGCUAAAGAUGAAGCUGAUGUCGCUUCAGGUACCUUUCUCGUUAACGAAUUGCCUGCCCAAAUUUUAUUUGAUUCUGGAGCCAACUACUCCUUUAUAUCGCAUGAAUUUGGUAGAAAGCUAGCUUUGCCUGUUGUUAGACUAGAUAAUGCUUUAUUAGUCGAAGUUGCUAGUGGCAAGUUUGUACCUGUUAGCUAUCGCAUGAAAAACAUCUUAAUUGAUCUGAAUGGGAAUAAGUUCCACGAGGAAUUAUUGCCUAUCGAACUUAAUGGUUUCGACAUCGUAUUGGGAAUGGAUUGGCUUAGCGCCAACGACGCCGAAAUUUUAUGCAAGAAGAAAAUAGUCAAAGUAAACCCGCCUGGGAAAGAUUCGUUUAUGGUGUAUGGAGAUAAACGCAGAGUGAAUUCUGGAAUCAUUUCAUUGAUGAAAGCCAGAAAAUGUUUGACCAAGGGGUGUACAUCGUAUUUAGCAUUCGUGAUUGAUGCUAAGAAGGAAAAGAAGGUGAUGCAGAAUAUUCCAGUGGUGUGUGAUUAUCCGGAAGUAUUUCCCGAAGAUCUUCCUGGAUUACCGCCUGAUCGACAAGUGGAAUUCCGUAUUGACUUGUUGCCAGGAACAACGCCAAUUGCGAAAGCACCUUAUCGAUUAGCACCGACGGAGAUGAAGGAGCUAAUGAUGCAACUUCAGGAGUUAUUGGACAACGGUUUCAUUAGACCUAGUUCAUCGCCCUGGGGAGCUCCGGUGUUAUUUGUAAAGAAGAAAGAUGGAAGUAUGAGAAUGUGCAUCGAUUACAGAGAGCUGAACAAGGCAACAAUAAAGAAUAGAUAUCCGUUGCCGAGGAUUGAUGACCUGUUUGAUCAAUUGCAAGGUUCGAGCUAUUUCUCGAAGAUCGAUCUUAGGUCAGGAUAUCAUCAGCUAAAAGUAAGAGAGCAAGAUAUCGAGAAGACUGCAUUCAGAACUAGAUAUGGACACUACGAGUUCUUGGUUAUGUCGUUUGGACUAACCAAUGCUCCAGCAGCGUUCAUGGAUUUGAUGAAUAGGGUUUGUAACCCGUUCCUUGAUAAAUCCGUGAUAGUGUUCAUAGACGACAUUCUGAUUUACUCGAAAAGCCAGGAGGAGCAUGGCAGACACUUGCGAGAAGUGUUAGAAGUUUUGAAGAAGGAGAAGCUGUAUGCUAAGUUCUCCAAAUGUGAUUUUUGGAUUCGUGAAGUCCAAUUCUUGGGUCACGUGGUCAACCAAGAAGGGAUAAUGGUUGAUCCAGCGAAGAUCGAAGCUGUGACGAAGUGGGAACAACCGAAAAGUCCCACGGAGAUUCGAAGCUUUUUAGGAUUAGCCGGAUAUUACCGAAGGUUUAUCCAAGGCUUUUCUUCGAUCGCUAGUCCAUUGUCAGCUUUGACCCACAAAGGAGCUACUUAUGCUUGGGGUGAGAAGCAUAAGGAAGCAUUUGAGAAGCUAAAGGAGAAGCUAUGCGAGGCACCGAUACUUUCUCUACCCGAUGGAGUUGAAGACUUCGCUGUCUAUAGCGAUGCGUCUGGUGUUGGAUUGGGUUGUGUUUUGACCCAAAGAGAAAAGGUGAUAGCAUAUGCGUCUCGACAGCUGAAAGAGCAUGAAAAGAAUUACCCGACUCAUGAUUUGGAGUUGGCAGCGGUAGUUUUCGCUCUGAAAAUAUGGAGGCAUUACCUCUAUGGCACGAAGUGCAAACUUUUCACUGAUCAUAAGAGUCUCCAAUACCUCUUUAAUCAGAAAGAAUUGAAUAUGAGGCAACGACGCUGGCUAGAAUUACUUAAAGACUAUGACUGCGAGAUACUUUACCACCCCGGUAAAGCUAAUGUUGUUGCUGAUGCUCUCAGUCGGAAAGUCAAUCCCGAAAGGAAAAGGCCAAGAGCGUUGAGAAUUGAAGUUGUCUCAACUAUUUUGGAAAGUAUAAAGAAAGCUCAGAGCGAAGCUUCUGAGAAGAAUGACAGAAAGGAGGAACGUUUGGGCAAAACGUUGGUGUUCGGUGUAAACAGUCAUGGACUGAAGGUGUUCCAAGAUCGGAUUUGGAUACCUAAGACAGGAGGAGUCAGAGAUCUUCUGAUGGAAGAAGCUCACAAGACCAUGUACUCGAUUCAUCCGGGUAGCACUAAAAUGUAUAGGGACCUGAAACCCUACUACUGGUGGCCGACGAUGAAGCUUGAUGUUGCAAAGUAUGUGGCCGAGUGUGUGACUUGUGCGAGAGUCAAGACACAACAUCAGAAACCGUACGGGAGUUUAGAACCUUUGCCUGUGCCUAUGGGUAAGUGGGAAGACAUUGCUAUGGAUUUUGUCACUAAACUGCCCAGAACAAAGAAUGGUCACGACAUGAUUUGGGUGGUCGUUGAUCGAUUCACUAAGAGUGCGCAUUUCAUAGCGGCCAGGGAGAAAUGGUCUAUGGAGAAGCUUGCGAAUUCUUACGUGAAGGAAAUUGUGAGGCUUCACGGUGUUCCGUUAACGAUUGUGUCGGAUCGUGAUAGCCGUUUCACAUCGAGGUUUUGGAAAAGUCUACAAGAGGAAUUGGGUACCAAGUUGUGUUUAAGUACAGCUUACCAUCCGCAGACUGAUGGUCAGAGCGAACGAACGAUACAAACACUUGAAGAUAUGCUGAGAGCAUGUACUCUGGAAUUCCUAGGUAAUUGGGAUGAACAUUUACCGUUGGUAGAAUUUUCCUAUAAUAAUAGUUUCCACUCGAGCAUUAAGAUGGCACCUUACCAAGCUUUGUAUGGACAGAAGUGUCGUACGCCGUCUUGUUGGCUUGAGGCUGGGGAAAAGCAGUUUAUGGGACCGGAGUUGGUUCAUCAAACUGCUGAAAAGUUGAAAAUAAUUAGGGAAAGAAUGUUAGCAGCUCAGGAUCGUCAAAAGAGCUAUGCUGACAAGAAGCGGAGACCGAUAACUUUUGAGGUUGGGGAUUCGGUUUUGCUUAAAGUCUCGCCGUGGAAGGGACUUAUAAGAUUUGGUAAAAGGGGAAAGUUGAGUCCAAGGUUUAUUGGACCGUUUAAAGUUCUUCAGAGGAUUGGGAACCAAGCUUACAAGCUCGAAUUACCCGAAGAACUGAAUGGAAUUCACAACACUUUUCAUGUGUGUUAUUUGAGGAAGUUCACGGGAGAAGUUCCCGAUAUAAUUCCAAUUUCUGAAUUGAGAAUUGAUGAGAACAAAAGGUUGAUUGAAGAACCAGAGGCAAUUGUUGACCGAAAGACUAAGAAGUUGCGACGCAAAAUGGUUGGGUUAGUGCUUGUCCGAUGGAAACACACGAAUGGGCCGAAUCUCACCUGGGAGACGGAGAGUGACAUGUUGAGUCGCUAUCCGCAUUUGUUUGUUGAUGUGUGAUUCCGGGGACGGAAUCAUUCUAAGGUGGAGAGAAUUGUAACGCCUGUGUUUCCGGGCUUGCCAUUUUUAGCAAUGUAAUAGUCUAGGUUAACCUUUGUAACCCGUUUUGAAAUAAUAAGAUUGUAUUAUUUGAGUAUUAUGUGUUUUGUGCUUAAUUGCUUAAUUAUGUGGUUUGAUUAAUUAAGAAUAAAAAUAAGCGUCAAAAUUUAAGUGUAAAAUAAACUUAAUAUCUUUGGUUAAUGUUGUAGUAGUUGAAACGAGGUUUCCGAAUAUAUAUAGAACGCCCAAAUCUGACUUCGUAUGAGGAAGUUAUGAUUUAUCGAAGUUCCGGCUUAGCGGUAUACAGCCUGUUUUACUCGAUUUGAGAUCGAGCGGUUGUUAGCCGAAGCAAUCUAAAUGAGAAUCGAAGAUCUCAUUGUUGGUAUCGAAGCGAUAAAAAGUUAGGCGAGAACGGACGUCAAACGAAGAAGUUAUGAAUUUAUAACGAAAGUUUCUGUCGCGGCCUAUUAAAAAUAAUUAAUAAAAAUAAAGUCAAAAUUAGCCGACGGAGUCUAAACGAAAGUCGUAGAGCGUGGUCUCACCUUUCCGUGGAUAUAAAGAACGUCGAAAACGGAGUUCGUAUGAAGAAGUUAUGAAUUUCCGAAGUUUAUUAAUCAUUUUGUAUUUAUAUUUAAAUCAAAAUUCGGAAGCAUUAUCCGAAGGAGUCACCGAUCUGAUCCGAGGUACGCCCCGCGUACUCGAGUACGCCCCGCGUACUCCGAGGGAUGUCGACACUCGCACUCGAGCACUUCGGAUACGUAAGCAAUGACGUUUUGGGCAGUACGCCCCGCGUAACGCAGUACGCCCCGCGUACUCCGAGGCUCCAGCCUCCUAUAAAUAGGAUGCGAGGGUUCCGGGUAUUUUUGCCAAUUCCCUCUCGUUUUCGUGUCGAAGCUCUGUGCAAAAACCCCCGAAGCUACCCCGAAGUCCCGGUAUCAUACUCUAGCCCCGAGGCAAGUCCCGAGAUCCCGAAGAUCCCGAGAAGUGCGGUUCCCGAGUCGAAGCUCUGCCCGCGAGAAGUUCGAUUUUUGUAGAGAUCUUCCAGAUCUGCUGAGGAUUACUACUUCUGCAAGUCGUAGUGCUGUCCGAUCAUCUUCUGAUCAAGUGAGUGUAUACUACCUUUCAUAAACACGAUAAUAAUACAAGUGCGGUUUGAGUGUAUUAAGUAAAUUGUGGUUUAUAUGUGUGUGGGUGCAGUUACUUUCUUCUAACAAGUAACUAUGAAGUAUUUUAUGCGAUAUACUUGCUAUGUGUAUAUUUUGUGAUUGUAUGCGUGAAUGGAUAUUCACUUUAUUCCAUCUCAUAGAUCUGAAUUGCUUACUAUGAAAUACGUGUUAUGUGGUAUGCCUCAUUUGUUAUAUGGAAUAUAUAUUGAAUGAAAAUGAUAUAUAGGUUUUAAACUAUGUAUGAAAAUAUAUUCUUAUCUACUAAUAUGUUGGGUAGAACAUGGGUAGAUAGUUGGUGUGUAAUAAACAGAUGAGAGGCCUCGAUGUUGUUGUUGUUGUUGAUCUAGUUAUUCAGCGGAGUAUGGAUAACGACCACGAACUCUUUCUAGACAGUCCAGUGGAACGCUAGCAGGGUCAUAACCUGUAGGUGUUGUGAACGAUGUGUUCACCGGUGUACUCUAUCCCCCUCAUUGUUGCCUUUAGGAUAUCUAUUGUUGAGGAAACCCCUUAGCAGUGAUGUCCGUCCCGAUGAAAAUCCUAGAUUAGGUCCCUUGAGAUAGUUGUUGUUUUAGGGACGUAAAGUGAGG
Molecule: long non-coding RNA, 7307 nt
Filed under: Lactuca sativa (garden lettuce)
Lineage: Eukaryota; Viridiplantae; Streptophyta; Magnoliopsida; Asterales; Asteraceae
Description: long non-coding RNA (LSAT_LNC009826)
Source: RNAcentral